GAUGAACGCUGGCGGCGUGCCUAAUACAUGCAAGUCGAGCGAACAGACGAGGAGCUUGCUCCUCUGACGUUAGCGGCGGACGGGUGAGUAACACGUGGAUAACCUACCUAUAAGACUGGGAUAACUUCGGGAAACCGGAGCUAAUACCGGAUAAUAUAUUGAACCGCAUGGUUCAAUAGUGAAAGACGGUCUUGCUGUCACUUAUAGAUGGAUCCGCGCCGCAUUAGCUAGUUGGUAAGGUAACGGCUUACCAAGGCAACGAUGCGUAGCCGACCUGAGAGGGUGAUCGGCCACACUGGAACUGAGACACGGUCCAGACUCCUACGGGAGGCAGCAGUAGGGAAUCUUCCGCAAUGGGCGAAAGCCUGACGGAGCAACGCCGCGUGAGUGAUGAAGGUCCUCGGAUCGUAAAACCCUGUUAUUAGGGAAGAACAAAUGUGUAAGUAACUAUGCACGUCUUGACGGUACCUAAUCAGAAAGCCACGGCUAACUACGUG
RNAcentral lists this ribosomal RNA (497 nucleotides) under uncultured bacterium. RNAcentral describes it as "partial 16S ribosomal RNA". It matches the Rfam family "Bacterial small subunit ribosomal RNA", at positions 28 to 507 of the family's 1533-position model. The record is from RNAcentral.